This 297-nucleotide long non-coding RNA is filed under the name Prunus persica (peach). RNAcentral describes it as "long non-coding RNA (PPER_LNC001795)". The record is from RNAcentral. Lineage: Eukaryota; Viridiplantae; Streptophyta; Magnoliopsida; Rosales; Rosaceae.
AAUUCACUUUUCUCAAUAUUACUUGUAUAUAGGUAUAGCCCACUCAUGUCUAAAUAGGAUUGGAGCCCGACCCAAAAUUUUAAAUUGCAAUAUCUAGUUAGUCCAGCCUCUACAAAGGCUUGGAAAGCAGCCCAGCCCAUAAUAUUCUUCUACCCAAUCAGCCCAACUCAUAUAAUUAACCUUUUACCCAGUCAGCUUUAUCCAGAAAACAAAAACAGAAAUAUUUAAAAGCAGCUAGCUGCCCACAUGAGUUUUUAUUCCUUUUUUUUUUCUUUCUUCUUCUUGUACUCUUUUUUU